This 253-nucleotide ribosomal RNA is filed under the name uncultured bacterium. Its description in RNAcentral is "partial 16S ribosomal RNA". It matches the Rfam family "Bacterial small subunit ribosomal RNA", at positions 524 to 776 of the family's 1533-position model. The record is from RNAcentral.
UACGUAGGGUGCGAGCGUUGUCCGGAAUUAUUGGGCGUAAAGAGCUUGUAGGCGGUCUGUCGCGUCUGCUGUGAAAAUCCGGGGCUCAACCCCGGACUUGCAGUGGGUACGGGCAGACUAGAGUGUGGUAGGGGAGACUGGAAUUCCUGGUGUAGCGGUGAAAUGCGCAGAUAUCAGGAGGAACACCGAUGGCGAAGGCAGGUCUCUGGGCCACUACUGACGCUGAGCCGCGAAAGCCAGGGGAGCGAACGGG